RNAcentral lists this ribosomal RNA (253 nucleotides) under uncultured bacterium. Its description in RNAcentral is "partial 16S ribosomal RNA". It matches the Rfam family "Bacterial small subunit ribosomal RNA", at positions 524 to 776 of the family's 1533-position model. The record is from RNAcentral.
UACGAAGGGGGCUAGCGUUGUUCGGAAUUACUGGGCGUAAAGGGUGCGUAGGCGGCUUUCUAAGUUGGAUGUGAAAACUCUGGGCUCAACCCAGAGACUGCAUCCAAAGCUGGAGAGCUUGGGUUCUGGAGGGGAAAGCGGAAUUCCUGGUGUAGCGGUGAAAUGCGUAGAUAUCAGGAGGAACACCGGUGGCGAAGGCGGCUUUCUGGACAGAUACCGACGCUGAGGCACGAAAGCGUGGGGAGCAAACAGG